Molecule: ribosomal RNA, 429 nt
Filed under: Bacteroidota bacterium
Lineage: Bacteria; Pseudomonadati; Bacteroidota
Description: Bacteroidetes bacterium partial 16S ribosomal RNA
Rfam family: Bacterial small subunit ribosomal RNA
Source: RNAcentral
UAGGGAAUCUUCGGCAAUGGGGGGAACCCUGACCGAGCAACGCCGCGUGAGUGAAGAAGGUUUUCGGAUCGUAAAGCUCUGUUGUUAAGGAAGAACGAGUGUGAGAAUGGAAAGUUCAUGCUGUGACGGUACUUAACCAGAAAGGGACGGCUAACUACGUGCCAGCAGCCGCGGUAAUACGUAGGUCCCGAGCGUUGUCCGGAUUUAUUGGGCGUAAAGCGAGCGCAGGCGGUUAGAAAAGUCUGAAGUGAAAGGCAGUGGCUCAACCAUUGUAGGCUUUGGAAACUGUUUAACUUGAGUGGAGAAGGGGAGAGUGGAAUUCCAUGUGUAGCGGUGAAAUGCGUAGAUAUAUGGAGGAACACCGGUGGCGAAAGCGGCUCUCUGGUCUGUAACUGACGCUGAGGCUCGAAAGCGUGGGGAGCGAACAGG